This 698-nucleotide long non-coding RNA is filed under the name Piliocolobus tephrosceles (Ugandan red Colobus). Its description in RNAcentral is "lncRNA (ENSPTEG00000016929.1)". The record is from RNAcentral. Lineage: Eukaryota; Metazoa; Chordata; Mammalia; Primates; Cercopithecidae.
UGGUUUAUUCCCCAAUGUUGGCAGCACUGAUAAUCUGGCCUCCUUUUUUGUGUGAAAUAGGCACAGACCAAGUCUGAGAGCAAAGAAACCCCACACAAAAACAAAACGCUUGCGCAAGGCUGAAAGGUUAAGAUCCAAGGAGCCGAAGCGACAGCCCAGCAAGUGUCUCUCCUGAAAUUCUUUGGGGUUUGCAGGGACCAGCCAGGCCGAGGCAGCAAACUGCCUCUUCCCCACGCACCCCACAAAGGGCAGCGUGCGAGGAAACACUGGCGACCUCCGGAGCUAGGGCUUCCGUGGCGCAGGAGCAGCGAGGGAUACACCCAUAAAGCCACUACGGGCCGCAGCUCCAGCCCCGGGAACGCAGAGCAGCGCUCACUGGCUGACUCAAGCUUCGGCAGGGACACACCGACCCGGAAGUGCAGUCGUCCCCACCGCAAGUACUUCCGCUUCCCUCCGUAAGGAAGCUGGGACUCAGAGAAAUUAAGGGACUUGGUGAAGCAGAGAAUGUCAAGGGAAUUGAUUCAGUAGUGGACGGGGAGUCCCUGAAGAUUGUUGAGCAGUGAAGAGACCUGAUCAAAUACUAAAAAAGUACAUGCAAUGGCAAGAAGAUCAACUAAGAGGUAGGAAAAUUAGCCAGGAGAUCAGGUAACAUUCAAUGCAAAAUGUGAUGAAAGUUGACAUGCAAAUCUAAACAAUAU